UGGUGAAUCAAGUUCUCUUGGCUGC
RNAcentral lists this non-coding RNA (25 nucleotides) under Rattus norvegicus (Norway rat). Lineage: Eukaryota; Metazoa; Chordata; Mammalia; Rodentia; Muridae. The record is from RNAcentral.